CUAUAUAUUACAUGGACUGCCAACUCUACGCACUAAGCCUAUAUUUUUCAAUAAACAAGUCCCGUUCACGGAGGCGUCCUUGGUUGCGUGGUAAAUUGACUUCCGGUAGAUUUUUUUUUACGUAUAAAGAAACCAUUCUCGAAGAUUUUCACCACCACUUUUACAGCAAAUCAUGAAUGGAAACUGAAUUGUUAAAGAAGAUGUUACAGAGGAGCAUACUACUUCCACAAACCUGAUUUGAUUGUCACUAACUUUCAAAUUGAAAGGGAUCUACUACAACUGCUCAUGAAUUUCGAGAUUUUACAGCUAAUAGAGGAACAAAUUUUAUCUGCUUCCACUUAGCCAAACAGCAUGGAAAUAUGCUAUUGUAAUGAGUAGAAGAUAUUUGUCAUUUAGAGUAUCAUGCAACAGCUAAUUAUCAGUACACACAUUUCAAGAUGAGGAAAAGAACAGUAUAAGCUACAUUCAUUGAUGCAUUAUUUAUACAAAAAUGUAUAGUCAACCCAGUCAUCACUCCAUUUUUUUAUGAAGCCAGUUACAGUUACCAUGAAGGGAUGAAAUUUCAGAUAAUAUUCUGUUUAUUUCAUGAAAUGAGAAUAGGCCUACAUCAGAAAUUGAAAUGGUCAUCUUCAGUAUUUAAUGUUUCAUCUAAAAAUGAUAAUUAUAUUAAUACAUAUUUGAUGUACAAACAAAUGAAAACCAUUCAAAACCAUUUUUUUUUGUGAAGUAUAGAUGAUUAAACUUGUAAGUGUCUGAACAAUA
This is a long non-coding RNA of Biomphalaria glabrata, 762 nucleotides long. RefSeq lists it as uncharacterized. The transcript is spliced from 3 exons. NCBI's taxonomy places the organism in Eukaryota, Metazoa, Mollusca, Gastropoda, Planorbidae. The record is from RefSeq and is a predicted model, not a curated record.